This 465-nucleotide ribosomal RNA is filed under the name uncultured bacterium. RNAcentral describes it as "bacterial SSU rRNA". It matches the Rfam family "Bacterial small subunit ribosomal RNA", at positions 329 to 792 of the family's 1533-position model. The record is from RNAcentral.
UUCCAGACUCCUACGGGAGGCAGCAGUGAGGAAUAUUGGUCAAUGGUCGGGAGACUGAACCAGCCAAGCCGCGUGAGGGAGGAAGGUACAGAGUAUCGUAAACCUCUUUUGUCAGGGAACAAAGACUGGGACGCGUCCCCGGAUGAGUGUACCUGAAGAAAAAGCAUCGGCUAACUCCGUGCCAGCAGCCGCGGUAAUACGGAGGAUGCGAGCGUUAUCCGGAUUUAUUGGGUUUAAAGGGUGCGCAGGCGGAGGUGCAAGUCAGCGGUCAAAUUGCGGGGCUCAACCCCGUACUGCCGUUGAAACUGCAUCCCUUGAGUGCGCGAGAAGUAUGCGGAAUGCGUGGUGUAGCGGUGAAAUGCAUAGAUAUCACGCAGAACUCCGAUUGCGAAGGCAGCAUGCCGGCUCCACACUGACGCUGAGGCACGAAAGCGUGGGUAUCGAACAGGAUUAGAUACCCGAGUA